Molecule: ribosomal RNA, 497 nt
Filed under: uncultured bacterium
Lineage: Bacteria
Description: partial 16S ribosomal RNA
Rfam family: Bacterial small subunit ribosomal RNA
Source: RNAcentral
UCUUCCCUCUUUCUUCGUGCCUAAUACAUGCAAGUCGAGCGAACGGACGAGAAGCUUGCUUCUCUGAUGUUAGCGGCGGACGGGUGAGUAACACGUGGAUAACCUACCUAUAAGACUGGGAUAACUUCGGGAAACCGGAGCUAAUACCGGAUGAUAUUUUGAACCGCAUGGUUCAAAAGUGAAAGACGGUCUUGCUGUCGCUUAUAGAUGGAUCCGCGCUGCAUUAGCUAGUUGGUAAGGUAACGGCUUACCAAGGCAACGAUGCAUAGCCGACCUGAGAGGGUGAUCGGCCACACUGGAACUGAGACACGGUCCAGACUCCUACGGGAGGCAGCAGUAGGGAAUCUUCCGCAAUGGGCGAAAGCCUGACGGAGCAACGCCGCGUGAGUGAUGAAGGUCUUCUGAUCGUAAAACUCUGUUAUUAGGGAAGAACAUAUGUGUAAGUAACUGUGCACAUCUUGACGGUACCUAAUCAGAAAGCCACGGCUAACUACGUG